AUGUGGAAAAAAAAAUAUCAAAAUGUUCUUUGUAGGGGACCUAUCCAUCUCCUGGGUAUCUUGUGUGCCCAAGACCAUAAAACAGAGAAGCAAACAAAACUUCAUCAGGUUUGCCAGUUGUACCCCUCAGAGAUGGCGUUACCACAUGAGUAUUUACAAUUUUUGGAUAAUGAUCUGGUCAAAACAUCUGCUUUCACCUCCUUUCCACUGAGCAUUUUGUUGAUUCUGUUGGAGGCUUUGAUUGAUAAAGAUUUUUCAUGCCCGUGCAAUGCUGAGCAAAAUGCAACCUUAAUAAAGCUAAUCUUCAUUGCACCAUGUAUUUUUGUUUUUGGGUUAAUGUUUAUUUUGCAGCUAAAUAAAAAUGGACCUACAAGGUCUCGUAGAAAGAUUGGAAAACAUUUCUUGUUUACCCUGAUUCCACCUUUUGUGUGGAUCAUGCUUGUGCUCCUUGAUGGUGAUUAUAUUGCCUGUCAGAAAACAGACUGGAAUGGAGUGUAUGUUUCAGAUGAUCAGCAACAUGUGAAAUGGUAUCAACCCACUGAACCAGUUCCAGGAAAAAAUGAGACCGAACUACAAGCUCUGACUUUCAGCUUUAUCGCCGAAUCACAGACUUCUGGUUUUGUGAUGCUCCUUGUCUUGGGCAUUAUCUUAAUAGUGGUUGUUUUUUGUGUCUACCGCUGCACUGGUGAAGAGCCACCGCAAACAACAGAAGAUAGAGGAGAUUACAUGGGUACUUUUGCUUGCUAUAGAAGUGAAGCAAACCUGCCACUUCAGUUGGAUUUUGAAUAAAUGGCUGUAUCAUAUGAUUCAUCCUGGGUUUUUAAUAUGUAUUUCUACUGUAUUCAUAUAUAUUUUUCAUUUUUAUUAUUAAUCCUUGAAUAUGCAAGACAGUAAAUCAAUAAUCACACAACCAAGACUGUGAUAUUGCUUUUAUAAACAAUUCAGUAAAACAAGUAUGUACAUAAUUAAGAAAGGGUCGAGGACACUAUUAUAUGUAUGAAAGUUUAAAUGGAUGAUAUGAAAAUUAAACGAUUAUGCAGCAUGAAUUGCAGAUGUAAUACAUAGUUUUUUUUUUUUUUCAAAAUCAGUAAAUACUACACAAUGCCAGUUUAUUUAUUUUUUAAUCAUUUUCUCUAGACACACCUUAAAUUCUUGGCUUUAACUGUUUCCAAUGUUGUUGCAAAUGACAUUCAAGCUGGCAUAUUGAUCCAUUAGCAGGGCUGCAGAUUAUAUGAUAUAGAUAUAAAUGUGUACUGUAUGUGUAAUAACAAAUUAAUUAUCUAGAUGGAUUUACAGCUCUUCUAUGUUUCAUCUUGAUUAUUUGUAUUAAUGUUUUUGUUGUUUUUGAAUUUACCUAUUGGUAAAGAAGAAAUAGAAAUGGCAUAUUUCUGCUUCAAAUAAAUCACUUAAUCCACUUCA
Molecule: long non-coding RNA, 1419 nt
Organism: Cyprinus carpio (common carp)
Lineage: Eukaryota; Metazoa; Chordata; Actinopteri; Cypriniformes; Cyprinidae
Source: Ensembl